Long non-coding RNA from Talpa occidentalis (Iberian mole), 1303 nucleotides. RefSeq lists it as uncharacterized. The record is from RefSeq and is a predicted model, not a curated record. Lineage: Eukaryota; Metazoa; Chordata; Mammalia; Eulipotyphla; Talpidae. The transcript has 3 exons.
ACCUCUCCUCUACAUUGCAGAUGCCUCACAUCCACCACCGACCUUGAUUCCUGGGGAGGACGCUGACACAAACACACCUCAGCAACUCACCUGGACAGUCCUGCCUCAAGGUUUUAGAGACAGCCCUCACCUCUCAGGACAGGCCCUCGCCAUGGAUCUAGCAGCCUGUGAUCUCAGUCCUGGCACUCUCCUCCAUUCAUCCAAGCCGCAUUCGAGAGAUGACUCACACCACCUUCAACCAACUACACCCUACUCAAGCCUCCCCACCAGUGAGCCAGGCCAUUGACCUUGUUUUUUGACCUCUCUUCCUCACAUUGCUCCACAUCAGCAGGAAUUAGCCAGAAAGAAUCCUUCACCCUUUAUCCUAUAACUAAAAGGUCAGAAUGUAAGGUCAUCGAUGAGGCAGAGGGAAGAACUUGAAACUGAGACCACCUGCAUCCCGGCAACCUGCAUCCUGGGAGUUGGCUCUACCUGGUUUGCACUGUGCCUGAUAAGCAGCCAUGAAAGAACAAGCGGCAAGAGAGAACAACUUUGUAAAGCAACCUUACUCCACCUCCCACCAAGGCCAGACUCCGUCCUAUAAAAGAAUACCCUGUGAGAAAUUUAGCCUGGCUUUCCUUUUCUUUACUGUACCAACCCUUUCAAUUGUUAUAAGGCAGGGAGAGGGGCAGCCCAGAGCCCGCAAACCUGCCUGCUUUAGAUAAGUUCUGCCAUCUGCCGCAUCAACACAGAACAUGUAAGAUUUUAAUGGGAAGGAACUUUAAUACAAUUAGUAAACAAUACAGGAAAGGCGAAGAAUAUAGUUUCUAAAUUAAGCAUCCAAAGUUACCCGUCCCCUCUUGGGUAAAACUCUACCCAAAUGGAAUUGGCCCAGAGCAAGGCCCCAAAGCCUGCCACAAGUCUAAAGCUACUUCUAGUGGGGACGCACAGAAAAGGGUCAGAAAUAGCCAGACAAGUCUUCUAGGAAAAGAGCAAAAUCAAAAUCAAGAUAAAAGCUGCCAUUGUCACCUCCCCACGGGUGUCUCACCCACAUCUGUGUCCAGUCCACAACCAAGAAGCAAGCACAGUUUCUUCAUGUGUCUCUUGGCUCCAUGUGCCUGCUCAAGUUCUCCUUCCGGCUCCAUCCUGCUUCCUUCCUUCUUCAGCUCUUGAGUUAAAUUCCAAACCUCGGAUUUCUAGUGAGAGUCCAGGAACAAACAAUUUACAAAAUAAGCUCUUAAUCUGUCUCUUCUCCUGUACACCUCAUGGUUCACAAAAAUAAUUAAAGUCGGGCCUCCCUGGUGGCACAAGGGGUAAGCACCGC